UGGGGAAUAUUGGACAAUGGGGGCAACCCUGAUCCAGCCAUGCCGCGUGAGUGAUGAAGGCCUUCGGGUUGUAAAGCUCUUUUGGCGGGGACGAUGAUGACGGUACCCGCAGAAUAAGCCCCGGCUAACUUCGUGCCAGCAGCCGCGGUAAGACGAAGGGGGCUAGCGUUGUUCGGAAUUACUGGGCGUAAAGCGAGUGUAGGCGGUUGCCGUAGUCAGGUGUGAAAGCCUUGAGCUCAACUCAAGAAAUGCACUUGAUACUGGGUGACUAGAGGACCGGAGAGGAUAGUGGAAUUCCCAGUGUAGUGGUGAAAUACGUAGAGAUUGGGAAGAACACCAGUGGCGAAGGCGGCUAUCUGAGCGGUUACUGACGCUAAGACUCGAAAGCGUGGGGAGCAAACAGGAUUAGAUACCCUGGUAGUCCACGCCGUAAAACGAUGGGUGCUAGACGUUGGCGAGCUUGCUCGUCAGUGUCGCAGCU
RNAcentral lists this ribosomal RNA (481 nucleotides) under uncultured bacterium. Its description in RNAcentral is "partial 16S ribosomal RNA". It matches the Rfam family "Bacterial small subunit ribosomal RNA", at positions 355 to 853 of the family's 1533-position model. The record is from RNAcentral.